Molecule: unclassified non-coding RNA, 318 nt
Filed under: uncultured fungus
Lineage: Eukaryota; Fungi
Description: partial contains 5.8S ribosomal RNA and internal transcribed spacer 2
Rfam family: 5.8S ribosomal RNA (bases 1-133)
Source: RNAcentral
UGGUUCUGGCAUCGAUGAAGAACGCAGCGAAAUGCGAUAAGUAAUGCGAAUUGCAGAAUUCAGUGAGUCAUCGAAUCUUUGAACGCACAUUGCGCCCCGUGGCAUUCCGCGGGGCAUGCCUGUUCGAGCGUCAUUACACCCCUCAAGCACAGCUUGGUGUUGGGCGCGGCCCGUGGCGGCCGGCCCCAAAGACAGUGGCGGUGCCCUCGCGGCCCUGAGCGCAGUACUUCUUUCUCGCUUUAGGACGCGUGGGGGUGGCCAGCCUCGCAACCCCUUCUUUCUGUGGUUGACCUCGAAUCAGGUAGGGCUACCCGCUGA